UUACGGUCAAAUCACGCUGAAAACACCGGUUCUCGUUCGAUCACCGAAGUUAAGCAUCGUAGAGCCAGGUCAGUACUUAGAUGGGGGACCACUUGGGAACACCUGGUACUGUAAG
This 115-nucleotide ribosomal RNA is filed under the name Acanthosepion pharaonis. Lineage: Eukaryota; Metazoa; Mollusca; Cephalopoda; Sepiida; Sepiidae. The record is from RNAcentral.